UGGGGAAUAUUGGACAAUGGGCGCAAGCCUGAUCCAGCAAUGCCGCGUGGGUGAAGACGGCCUGCGGGUUGUAAAGCCCUUUAGGCGGGGAGGAACGACCGGAUGCCAAUACCAUCUGGAAGGGACGUUACCCGCGGAAUAAGCACCGGCUAACUCCGUGCCAGCAGCCGCGGUAAUACGGAGGGUGCGAGCGUUAAUCGGAAUUACUGGGCGUAAAGCGUGCGUAGGCGGAGAGGUCAGUCGGUCGUGAAAGCCCCGGGCUCAACCUGGGAACGGCGGUCGAGACGGCCUGUCUGGAGUGGGCUAGAGGAUCGUGGAAUUCCGGGUGUAGCGGUGAAAUGCGUAGAGAUCCGGAGGAACACCGAUGGCGAAGGCAGCGAUCUGGGGCCACACUGACGCU
RNAcentral lists this ribosomal RNA (400 nucleotides) under uncultured bacterium. RNAcentral's name for it is "bacterial SSU rRNA". It matches the Rfam family "Bacterial small subunit ribosomal RNA", at positions 355 to 747 of the family's 1533-position model. The record is from RNAcentral.